This is a long non-coding RNA of Stegostoma tigrinum, 1531 nucleotides long. RefSeq lists it as uncharacterized. The record is from RefSeq and is a predicted model, not a curated record. NCBI's taxonomy places the organism in Eukaryota, Metazoa, Chordata, Chondrichthyes, Orectolobiformes, Stegostomatidae. The transcript is spliced from 2 exons.
CCUGUUUUCAAACUGUCUCGGAUGGUUGCUCGUGCGUCCUCCUUGCUGACCUUGGAAUAGACCUGUUCAAAGUGCCUUAUGAAGGAAGGGAGUAGAAAAUCAGAGAAGAUCCUAUCCAUGGACAUGACUGGUUGGAGCAGAAAAUGAUCUUAUUCUUCAAGAAUCCAGGCCAACAGCCCAAACUCCUCAUCAACAUUAGGCAGAAUCCAACUUAAGCAUCAGAACACUUUGAUACCGACUCUUCACAAGGAACAGACAAUAACAGAAUGAGAUAUACUGCUUAAUAAUGGCAACUUACAGAGGAAAAUAAGCUGCUGUGUCAGCAGCUAUCAGGAAACAAAAGCAGAGCAACUUGGAAAUGAAUUAGCAAAUUAAGUUACAGGACAGGUCAGUUUAAAUGGAGUGGCAGACAUUUAAGAACAUAUUUCAGAAUAAAGCAGAUACAUUCCAACAAGAAAAAUUCCAAGAAGAGGAUUCAUCAUCUUUUUUCUUUACUCAUUAACAGGAUAAGGAUGUCGCUGGUUAGGCAGCUUUUAUUGCCCAUCCCUAAUUGCCUAGAGGGCAAUUAAGAGUCAACCACAUUGCUAUGGAUCUGGAGUCACAAGUAGUCCAUUCCAGGGAAGGAUGGCAGUUUCUUUCCCUAAAGGGCAUUAGUGAACGAGAUGGGAUUUUCCAACAAUCGACAAUGGAUUCAUGGUCAUCAUUUGAUUCUUAAUUCCAGAUAUUUAUUUGAAUUCAAAUUCUACCAUCUGCCAUGGAUUUGAACCUGGGUCCCCGGAAUGUUAUGUGGGUGUCUGGAUUAGCAGUCCAGCGAUAAUACCACUAGGCCAUCGCCUCCCCACGGUGGUUAACUAGAAAAGUUAAACAUAGUAUCAAACAUAAAGAAUAAGGAUAUAAAUGUGCAAAGGUGGGUGGCACAUCAGAAGACUAGACAGAAUUUUUUAAAAAGCACACAAUAACUAAAAAAGUAAUAACAAGAAAAAAAAGUACAAGGGAAAUCUAGCUAGAAAUAUAAAAAUAGAUAAUAAGAAUUUCUAUUGAUAUUUAAAAAGAGUUAACAAAGCAUUGGUCUUAUAGGAAGUUAGUCUGGGGGUUUUUAUCAUGGAAAAUAAGGAGAUCUCUGGUACAUUGCAUCAGCCUUCACCACAGAGAAUACAAGUAACAUUCCAGAAAUAGCUGUGCUGUAAAUCAGAAACGGGAAUGCAAAAUCAAACUACAAUUAACAAGCAAGUGGCACAAAGCAGAUCGUUGGGGGUAAAGGCUGACAAGUAUCCAGGUCCUGAGAAACUUCAUCCUAGGGUCCAUCUUAAAAGAAGUGGCUAGCAAGAUAUUUGAUUUAAUUUUCCAAAGUUCCCUCAUUUUGGGGAAGGCUUCACUCAUUUGGGAGAUAGCACAUAUAACUCCUUUAUGCAAAAAAGGAGGCAGACAGAAAGCAGGAAACUACAGGCCAGGUAACUUAACAUCCACCAUUUGGAAAAUGCUGGAAGCUAUUAUCAAAAACAUUGCAAUAAAAUAAUUUGGAAAAAUUCAA